Molecule: ribosomal RNA, 497 nt
Filed under: uncultured bacterium
Lineage: Bacteria
Description: partial 16S ribosomal RNA
Rfam family: Bacterial small subunit ribosomal RNA
Source: RNAcentral
GAUGAACGCUGGCGGCGUGCCUAAUACAUGCAAGUCGAGCGAACGGACGAGAAGCUUGCUUCUCUGAUGUUAGCGGCGGACGGGUGAGUAACACGUGGAUAACCUACCUAUAAGACUGGGAUAACUUCGGGAAACCGGAGCUAAUACCGGAUAAUAUUUUGAACCGCAUGGUUCAAAAGUGAAAGACGGUCUUGCUGUCACUUAUAGAUUGAUCCGCGCUGCAUUAGCUAGUUGGUAAGGUAACGGCUUACCAAGGCAACGAUGCAUAGCCGACCUGAGAGGGUAAUCGGCCACACUGGAACUGAGACACGGUCCAGACUCCUACGGGAGGCAGCAGUAGGGAAUCUUCCGCAAUGGGCGAAAGCCUGACGGAGCAACGCCGCGUGAGUGAUGAAGGUCUUCGGAUCGUAAAACUCUGUUAUUAGGGAAGAACAUAUGUGUAAGUAACUGUGCACAUCUUGACGGUACCUAAUCAGAAAGCCACGGCUAACUACGUG